AGGCGUGUGAGGAGUGAAAGUUCGAGCGAAAAUGCCUCUGGGGUCGAAACACGGAAAGACUCCCAGGGGCUUUUCUUA
Molecule: small RNA, 78 nt
Filed under: Prochlorothrix hollandica PCC 9006 = CALU 1027
Lineage: Bacteria; Bacillati; Cyanobacteriota; Cyanophyceae; Prochlorotrichales; Prochlorotrichaceae
Description: Prochlorothrix hollandica PCC 9006 Cyano-1 RNA
Rfam family: Cyano-1 RNA
Source: Rfam by way of RNAcentral